GCUUGCUUGUUGGGGUUGUAGGACACUCUAUACGGAGUUACAAAGGACGACAUUAGACGAAUCAUCUGGAAAGAUGAAUCAAAGAAGGUAAUAAUCCUGUAGUCGAAAAUGUUGUCUCUCUUGAGUGGAUCCUGAGUACGACGGAGCACGUGAAAUUCCGUCGGAAUCUGGGAGGACCAUCUCCUAAGGCUAAAUACUCUCUAGUGACCGAUAGUGAACCAGUACCGUGAGGGAAAGGUGAAAAGCACCCCGGAAGGGGAGUGAAAUAGAACCUGAAACCGUGUGCUUACAAGUAGUCAGAGCCCGUUAAUGGGUGAUGGCGUGCCUUUUGUAGAAUGAACCGGCGAGUUACGAUUUGAUGCAAGGUUAAGCAGUAAAUGUGGAGCCGUAGCGAAAGCGAGUCUGAAUAGGGCGUUUAGUAUUUGGUCGUAGACCCGAAACCAGGUGAUCUACCCUUGGUCAGGUUGAAGUUCAGGUAACACUGAAUGGAGGACCGAACCGACUUACGUUGAAAAGUGAGCGGAUGAACUGAGGGUAGCGGAGAAAUUCCAAUCGAACCUGGAGAUAGCUGGUUCUCUCCG
Molecule: ribosomal RNA, 581 nt
Filed under: Staphylococcus aureus
Lineage: Bacteria; Bacillati; Bacillota; Bacilli; Caryophanales; Staphylococcaceae
Description: partial 23S ribosomal RNA
Rfam family: Bacterial large subunit ribosomal RNA
Source: RNAcentral